GUCCUUUUAAUCUAGUGGUAGGAUAUCACUUUUUCAAGGUGAAAACAGGGGUUCGAAUCCCCUAAAGGAUA
This 71-nucleotide transfer RNA is filed under the name Candidatus Vidania fulgoroideorum. Its description in RNAcentral is "tRNA-Glu". It matches the Rfam family "tRNA". Rfam says of the family: Transfer RNA (tRNA) molecules are approximately 80 nucleotides in length. Their secondary structure includes four short double-helical elements and three loops (D, anti-codon, and T loops). Lineage: Bacteria; Pseudomonadati; Pseudomonadota; Betaproteobacteria. The record is from RNAcentral.